ACGGGAGGCAGCAGUGGGGAAUAUUGGGCAAUGGGGGAAACCCUGAUCCAGCGACGCCGCGUGAGUGAAGAAGUAUUUCGGUAUGUAAAGCUCUAUCAGCAGGGAAGAUAAUGACGGUACCUGACUAAGAAGCCCCGGCUAACUACGUGCCAGCAGCCGCGGUAAUACGUAGGGGGCAAGCGUUAUCCGGAUUUACUGGGUGUAAAGGGAGCGUAGACGGUAUGGCAAGUCUGAUGUGAAAACCCGGGGCUCAACCCCGGGACUGCAUUGGAAACUGUCAAACUAGAGUGCGGGAGGGGUAAGUGGAAUUCCUAGUGUAGCGGUGAAAUGCGUAGAUAUUAGGAGGAACACCGGUGGCGAAGGCGGCUUACUGGACUGUGACUGACGUUGAGGCUCGAAAGCGUGGGGAGCAAACAGGAUUAGAUACCCUGGUA
This 434-nucleotide ribosomal RNA is filed under the name uncultured Lachnospiraceae bacterium. RNAcentral's name for it is "partial 16S ribosomal RNA". It matches the Rfam family "Bacterial small subunit ribosomal RNA", at positions 341 to 792 of the family's 1533-position model. The record is from RNAcentral. Lineage: Bacteria; Bacillati; Bacillota; Clostridia; Lachnospirales; Lachnospiraceae.